UUGGGCGUAAGAGCUCGUAGGCGGUUUGUCGCGUCUGCCGUGAAAGUCCGGGGCUCAACUCCGGAUCUGCGGUGGGUACGGGCAGACUAGAGUGAUGUAGGGGAGACUGGAAUUCCUGGUGUAGCGGUGAAAUGCGCAGAUAUCAGGAGGAACACCGAUGGCGAAGGCAGGUCUCUGGGCAUUAACUGACGCUGAGGAGCGAAAGCAUGGGGAGCGAACAGGAUUAGAUACCCUGGUAGUCCAUGCCGUAAACGUUGGGCACUAGGUGUGGGGGACAUUCCACGUUUUCCGCGCCGUAGCUAACGCAUUAAGUGCCCCGCCUGGGGAGUACGGCCGCAAGGCUAAAACUCAAAGGAAUUGACGGGGGCCCGCACAAGCGGCGGAGCAUGCGGAUUAAUUCGAUGCAACGCGAAGAACCUUACCAAGGCUUGACAUGAACCGGUAAGACCUGGAAACAGGUCCCCCGCUUGCGGUCGGUUUACAGGUGGUGCAUGGUUGUCGUCAGCUCGUGUCGUGAGAUGUUGGGUUAAGUCCCGCAACGAGCGCAACCCUCGUUCUAUGUUGCCAGCACGUGAUGGUGGGGACUCAUAGGAGACUGCCGGGGUCAACUCGGAGGAAGGUGGGGACGACGUCAAAUCAUCAUGCCCCUUAUGUCUUGGGCUUCACGCAUGCUACAAUGGCCGGUACAAAGGGUUGCGAUACUGUGAGGUGGAGCUAAUCCCAAAAAGCCGGUCUCAGUUCGGAUUGGGGUCUGCAACUCGACCCCAUGAAGUCGGAGUCGCUAGUAAUCGCAGAUCAGCAACGCUGCGGUGAAUACGUUCCCGGGCCUUGUACACACCGCCCGUCAAGUCACGAAAGUUGGUAACACCCGAAGCCGGUGGCCUAACCCCUUGUGGGAGGGAGCUGUCGAAGUGGGACUGGCGAUUGGGACGAAGUC
This 937-nucleotide ribosomal RNA is filed under the name Arthrobacter sp. Its description in RNAcentral is "bacterial SSU rRNA". It matches the Rfam family "Bacterial small subunit ribosomal RNA", at positions 554 to 1487 of the family's 1533-position model. The record is from RNAcentral. Lineage: Bacteria; Bacillati; Actinomycetota; Actinomycetes; Micrococcales; Micrococcaceae.